RNAcentral lists this ribosomal RNA (1439 nucleotides) under uncultured organism. RNAcentral describes it as "16S ribosomal RNA". It matches the Rfam family "Bacterial small subunit ribosomal RNA". The record is from RNAcentral.
CAGGCUUAACACAUGCAAGUCGAGGGGCAUCAGGAAGAAAGCUUGCUUUCUUUGCUGGCGACCGGCGCACGGGUGAGUAACACGUAUCCAACCUGCCCUUUACUCGGGGAUAGCCUUUCGAAAGAAAGAUUAAUACCCGAUAGCAUAAUGAUUCCGCAUGGUUUCAUUAUUAAAGGAUUCCGGUAAAGGAUGGGGAUGCGUUCCAUUAGGUUGUUGGCGGGGUAACGGCCCACCAAGCCUUCGAUGGAUAGGGGUUCUGAGAGGAAGGUCCCCCACAUUGGAACUGAGACACGGUCCAAACUCCUACGGGAGGCAGCAGUGAGGAAUAUUGGUCAAUGGACGAGAGUCUGAACCAGCCAAGUAGCGUGAAGGAUGACUGCCCUAUGGGUUGUAAACUUCUUUUAUACGGGAAUAAAGUGAGGCACGUGUGCCUUUUUGUAUGUACCGUAUGAAUAAGGAUCGGCUAACUCCGUGCCAGCAGCCGCGGUAAUACGGAGGAUCCGAGCGUUAUCCGGAUUUAUUGGGUUUAAAGGGAGCGUAGGCGGACGCUUAAGUCAGUUGUGAAAGUUUGCGGCUCAACCGUAAAAUUGCAGUUGAUACUGGGUGUCUUGAGUACAGUAGAGGCAGGCGGAAUUCGUGGUGUAGCGGUGAAAUGCUUAGAUAUCACGAAGAACUCCGAUUGCGAAGGCAGCUUGCUGGACUGUAACUGACGCUGAUGCUCGAAAGUGUGGGUAUCAAACAGGAUUAGAUACCCUGGUAGUCCACACAGUAAACGAUGAAUACUCGCUGUUUGCGAUAUACAGUAAGCGGCCAAGCGAAAGCGUUAAGUAUUCCACCUGGGGAGUACGCCGGCAACGGUGAAACUCAAAGGAAUUGACGGGGGCCCGCACAAGCGGAGGAACAUGUGGUUUAAUUCGAUGAUACGCGAGGAACCUUACCCGGGCUUGAAUUGCAACUGAAUGAUGUGGAGACAUGUCAGCCGCAAGGCAGUUGUGAAGGUGCUGCAUGGUUGUCGUCAGCUCGUGCCGUGAGGUGUCGGCUUAAGUGCCAUAACGAGCGCAACCCUUAUCGAUAGUUACCAUCAGGUUAUGCUGGGGACUCUGUCGAGACUGCCGUCGUAAGAUGUGAGGAAGGUGGGGAUGACGUCAAAUCAGCACGGCCCUUACGUCCGGGGCUACACACGUGUUACAAUGGGGGGUACAGAAGGCAGCUACACGGCGACGUGAUGCUAAUCCCUAAAGCCUCUCUCAGUUCGGAUUGGAGUCUGCAACCCGACUCCAUGAAGCUGGAUUCGCUAGUAAUCGCGCAUCAGCCACGGCGCGGUGAAUACGUUCCCGGGCCUUGUACACACCGCCCGUCAAGCCAUGAAAGCCGGGGGUACCUGAAGUGCGUAACCGCAAGGAGCGCCCUAGGGUAAAACUGGUGAUUGGGGCUAAGUC